GCAUGCCUGUUCGAGCGUCAUUUCACCACUUAAGCCCUGUUGCUUAGCGUUGGGAGCCUACGGCAUAGCCCGUAGCUCCUUAAAGUGAUUGGCGGAGUUGGUUCUCACUCUAAGCGUAGUAACUAUAUCUCGCUUCUGUAGUAGUUCCGGCCCCUGCCGUAAAACCCUUAUACAAAGGUUGACCUCGGAUCAGGUAGGAAUACCCGCUGAACUUAAGCAUAUCAAUAAGCGGAGGAAAAGAAACCAACAGGGAUUGCCCUAGUAACGGCGAGUGAAGCGGCAACAGCUCAAAUUUGAAAUCUGGCUCUAGGGCCCGAGUUGUAAUUUGCAGAGGAUGAUUUUGGCGCGGUGCCUUCCGAGUUCCCUGGAACGGGACGCCUUAGAGGGUGAGAGCCCCGUACGGUUGGACACCAAGCCUCUGUAAAUCUCCUUCGACGAGUCGAGUAGUUUGGGAAUGCUGCUCUAAAUGGGAGGUAAAUUUCUUCUAAAGCUAAAUACCGGCCAGAGACCGAUAGCGCACAAGUAGAGUGAUCGAAAGAUGAAAAGCACUUUGAAAAGAGGGUUAAAUAGCACGUGAAAUUGUUGAAAGGGAAGCAUUUACUACCAGACCUUCUCCCUGCGGAUCAUGCGGUGUUCUCACCGCUGCACUUCGCUUGGUUUAGGCCAGCAUCGGUUUUCGUAGAGGGAUAAAAGCUUUAGGAACGUAGCUCCCUCGGGAGUGUUAUAGCCUUUUGCAUAAUACCUUUACGGGGACCGAGGACCGCGCUUGC
Molecule: ribosomal RNA, 770 nt
Filed under: Anthostomella sp.
Lineage: Eukaryota; Fungi; Ascomycota; Sordariomycetes; Xylariales; Xylariaceae
Description: eukaryotic LSU rRNA
Rfam family: Eukaryotic large subunit ribosomal RNA (bases 180-770)
Source: RNAcentral